Molecule: long non-coding RNA, 614 nt
Filed under: Schizosaccharomyces pombe (fission yeast)
Lineage: Eukaryota; Fungi; Ascomycota; Schizosaccharomycetes; Schizosaccharomycetales; Schizosaccharomycetaceae
Source: RNAcentral
CUAAUAUUAGCAUUAGCAAUAUAUUUCCUUCUUAAUCCACCAUUUGAUAAAUAUAUGUAGUUUUUGAGUGCUGAAGGAUACGGAGAUAAAUUCUAAAAUUAUUAAUUGAGUUAGAAGAAGUUCUUAUUAAGCGAUUGGGUACUUAUUCAUAUGAAAACUACAUAGUCUCCUCAGUCUGUUUUUGUUGAUAUUCUUUAUAGUAAACUACAUUUUCAUUAAAUGUCAAUUUUGCAAUCUUGUAAAUCAUAAUUUACUUCUGCAAAAACGCCGCUAAUAAAUCGUAAGUUAUCUACAUAUAUUAGCUGGUUAAUUGCCCUUAAUGAGAUUGAAUAGAGAGGGCAUAAAGUCACUUUUCUUGGAAUAAAGACAUUUAAUUAAAUGAGGCUUGAAGUGACAAAAAUUAAAUCAAUUUCUUAUAUGUAAUGAAAGUAUAGGGAAAGAGGUGCUGUCGAGAAAUAUAAAAAAUGCGUACACAUUCUUCAUUUUGUUCAGUUGAUGAAAUAAAAUUGAUAAGCCAGAAGCUAAGAAAUAUAGAGACAAUAAAAAAAUAUUUAAUAAUUUGUGGCUCGGCAUCAUUUAUCCUCUAAUAAGAUCAAUAAAAAAUUUUGAAGUCA